Bos taurus (domestic cattle) is the source of this 72-nucleotide non-coding RNA. NCBI's taxonomy places the organism in Eukaryota, Metazoa, Chordata, Mammalia, Artiodactyla, Bovidae. The record is from Rfam.
UCCCUGUUGGCUCAGAUGGUAAAGUGUCUGCUUACAAUGCGGGAGACCUGGGUUCGAUCCCUGGGUCGGGAA